GAUGAACGCUAGCUACAGGCUUAACACAUGCAAGGUCGAGGGGCAGCAUGCUGAUAGCUUGCUAUCAGUGAUGGCGACCGGCGCACGGGUGAGUAACGCGUAUCCAACCUGCCUGUCACUCAGGAAUAGCCCGGUGAAAACCGGAUUAAGUCCUGAUGAUAUCAUUAGAGGGCAUCUGACGAUGAUUAAAGGUUACGGUGACGGAUGGGGAUGCGUCUGAUUAGCUAGAUGGCGGGGUAACGGCCCACCAUGGCGACGAUGUCUAGGGGUUCUGAGAGGAAGGUCCCCCACACUGGAACUGAGACACGGUCCAGACUCCUACGGGAGGCAGCAGUGGGGAAUAUUGGGCAAUGGGCGCAAGCCUGACCCAGCAACGCCGCGUGAAGGAAGAAGGCCUUCGGGUUGUAAACUUCUUUUACCAGGGACGAAUAAUGACGGUACCUGGAGAAAAAGCAACGGCUAACUACGUG
RNAcentral lists this ribosomal RNA (470 nucleotides) under uncultured bacterium. Its description in RNAcentral is "bacterial SSU rRNA". It matches the Rfam family "Bacterial small subunit ribosomal RNA", at positions 28 to 507 of the family's 1533-position model. The record is from RNAcentral.